CGCAUCUGUGCAUGCAGCAUAUCAAUAAGCGGAGGAAAAGAAACUAACAAGGAUUCCCCUAGUAACGGCGAGUGAAGCGGGAAGAGCUCAAAUUUGAAAUCUUAAAGGGUUUCCCUUUACGAAUUGUAGUUUAAAGAAGUGUUUUCUGCUGAGGUUUUGGUAAAAGUUCUUUGGAAUAGGACAUCAUAGAGGGUGAGAAUCCCGUAUUUGACCUUUACUUUCAACUUUGUGAUACACUUUCAAAGAGUCGGAUUGUUUGGGAAUGCAGUCCAAAAUGGGUGGUAAAUUUCAUCUAAAGCUAAAUAUUGGCGAGAGACCGAUAGCGAACAAGUACCGUGAGGGAAAGAUGAAAAGAACUUUGAAAAGAGAGUUAAACAGUACGUGAAAUUGUCAAAAGGGAAGCGUUUGACACCAGUGUUGUUUUUCUGAAAAUCAAUUAAAGAACUGUUUAUGCUAAGUUGUUUAGACUUUAUCAGCUAACUGUUUAGUUUUAGGCUUUUCUUUAAUGCACUUUUCAGUUAACAAGUCAACAUCAAUUUCUUUUGCUGUAAAAAAGCUUGAGGAAGGUGGCUUGAGAUUCGUCUUAAGUGUUUAUAGCCUCUUGCCUAUGCAGUCGGAGAGAUUGAGGUCUGCAGCGUAGAUCCUUCGGGGCUAAAUGCAUUUGUGCUAAGUUAUAGCAUUUUAUAGACAACUUGUUGACUAUGAUUUGUCUUGUAGCUUACUCGCUUAUGUUAUUUUACCUACGCUUAGGAUGUUGAACGCGCACAGAGUCUC
Molecule: ribosomal RNA, 774 nt
Filed under: uncultured Neocallimastigales
Lineage: Eukaryota; Fungi; Neocallimastigomycota; Neocallimastigomycetes; Neocallimastigales
Description: partial large subunit ribosomal RNA
Rfam family: Eukaryotic large subunit ribosomal RNA
Source: RNAcentral